CAGCAGCCGCGGUAAUACGGAGGGUGCAAGCGUUAAUCGGAAUUACUGGGCGUAAAGCGCACGCAGGCGGUCUGUCAAGUCGGAUGUGAAAUCCCCGGGCUCAACCUGGGAACUGCAUCCGAAACUGGCAGGCUAGAGUCUUGUAGAGGGGGGUAGAAUUCCAGGUGUAGCGGUGAAAUGCGUAGAGAUCUGGAGGAAUACCGGUGGCGAAGGCGGCCCCCUGGACAAAGACUGACGCUCAGGUGCGAAAGCGUGGGGAGCAAACAGGAUUAGAUACCCCAGUAGUCCCUGUCUCUUAUAC
RNAcentral lists this ribosomal RNA (301 nucleotides) under uncultured bacterium. RNAcentral's name for it is "partial 16S ribosomal RNA". It matches the Rfam family "Bacterial small subunit ribosomal RNA", at positions 509 to 807 of the family's 1533-position model. The record is from RNAcentral.